Molecule: microRNA precursor, 114 nt
Organism: Danio rerio (zebrafish)
Lineage: Eukaryota; Metazoa; Chordata; Actinopteri; Cypriniformes; Danionidae
Gene: mir146a
Product: microRNA 146a
Source: Ensembl
GAGUUUGUUUUGAGCACUUUUCCCUGAGAACUGAAUUCCAUAGAUGGUGUUCAUGAAAAGUUCAUCUAUGGGCUCAGUUCUUCUGGCAAUCUGUUUAAUGUCUGCUACAAAUUC